This 253-nucleotide ribosomal RNA is filed under the name uncultured bacterium. RNAcentral's name for it is "partial 16S ribosomal RNA". It matches the Rfam family "Bacterial small subunit ribosomal RNA", at positions 524 to 776 of the family's 1533-position model. The record is from RNAcentral.
UACAGAGGUCUCAAGCGUUGUUCGGAUUCAUUGGGCGUAAAGGGUGCGUAGGUGGCGCGGUAAGUCGGGUGUGAAAUCUCGGAGCUUAACUCCGAAAUUGCAUUCGAUACUGCCGUGCUUGAGGACUGGAGAGGAGACUGGAAUUCAUGGUGUAGCAGUGAAAUGCGUAGAGAUCAUGAGGAAGACCAGUGGCGAAGGCGGGUCUCUGGACAGUUCCUGAUACUGAGGCACGAAGGCCAGGGGAGCAAACGGG